UUAGAACCACUGCGGGGAUGCGAUCUGG
This 28-nucleotide small RNA is filed under the name Bombyx mori (domestic silkworm). RNAcentral's name for it is "ovarian small RNA-36685". The record is from RNAcentral. Lineage: Eukaryota; Metazoa; Arthropoda; Insecta; Lepidoptera; Bombycidae.